RNAcentral lists this ribosomal RNA (459 nucleotides) under uncultured bacterium. RNAcentral's name for it is "partial 16S ribosomal RNA". It matches the Rfam family "Bacterial small subunit ribosomal RNA", at positions 338 to 795 of the family's 1533-position model. The record is from RNAcentral.
CCUACGGGUGGCAGCAGUGAGGAAUAUUGGUCAAUGGGCGAGAGCCUGAACCAGCCAAGUCGCGUGAGGGAUGACGGUCCUAUGGAUUGUAAACCUCUUUUGUCGGGGAACAAAGGCGUCCACGUGUGGACUGAUGAGUGUACCCGAAGAAACAGCAUCGGCUAACUCCGUGCCAGCAGCCGCGGUAAUACGGAGGAUGCGAGCGUUAUCCGGAUUUAUUGGGUUUAAAGGGUGCGGAGGCGGUCUGUUAAGUCAGCGGUAAAAUUGCGGGGCUCAACCCCGUCGAGCCGUUGAAACUGGCUGACGUGAGUUGGCGAGAAGUACGCGGAAUGCGCGGUGUAGCGGUGAAAUGCAUAGAUAUCGCGCAGAACUCCGAUUGCGAAGGCAGCGUACCGGCGCCAGACUGACGCUGAGGCACGAAAGCGUGGGGAUCGAACAGGAUUAGAUACCCCAGUAGUC